Molecule: ribosomal RNA, 1346 nt
Filed under: uncultured bacterium
Lineage: Bacteria
Description: partial 16S ribosomal RNA
Rfam family: Bacterial small subunit ribosomal RNA
Source: RNAcentral
GACGAACGCUGGCGGCGUGCUUAACACAUGCAAGUCGAACGGAAAGGCCCUGCUUUUGUGGGGUGCUCGAGUGGCGAACGGGUGAGUGACACGUGAGUAACCUGCCCUUGACUUUGGGAUAACUUCAGGAAACUGGGGCUAAUACCGGAUAGGAGCUCCUGCUGCAUGGUGGGGGUUGGAAAGUUUCGGCGGUUGGGGAUGGACUCGCGGCUUAUCAGCUUGUUGGUGGGGUAGUGGCUUACCAAGGCUUUGACGGGUAGCCGGCCUGAGAGGGUGACCGGCCACAUUGGGACUGAGAUACGGCCCAGACUCCUACGGGAGGCAGCAGUGGGGAAUAUUGCACAAUGGGCGGAAGCCUGAUGCAGCAACGCCGCGUGCGGGAUGACGGCCUUCGGGUUGUAAACCGCUUUCGCCUGUGACGAAGCGUGAGUGACGGUAAUGGGUAAAGAAGCACCGGCUAACUACGUGCCAGCAGCCGCGGUGAUACGUAGGGUGCGAGCGUUGUCCGGAUUUAUUGGGCGUAAAGGGCUCGUAGGUGGUUGAUCGCGUCGGAAGUGUAAUCUUGGGGCUUAACCCUGAGCGUGCUUUCGAUACGGGUUGACUUGAGGAAGGUAGGGGAGAAUGGAAUUCCUGGUGGAGCGGUGGAAUGCGCAGAUAUCAGGAGGAACACCAGUGGCGAAGGCGGUUCUCUGGGCCUUUCCUGACGCUGAGGAGCGAAAGCGUGGGGAGCGAACAGGCUUAGAUACCCUGGUAGCCCACGCUGUAAACGGUGGGUACUAGGUGUGGGGUCCAUUCCACGGGUUCCGUGCCGUAGCUAACGCUUUAAGUACCCCGCCUGGGGAGUACGGCCGCAAGGCUAAAACUCAAAGGAAUUGACGAGGCCCCGCACAAGCGGCGGAGCAUGCGGAUUAAUUCGAUGCAACGCGUAGAACCUUACCUGGGUUUGACAUGGAUCGGGAGUGCUCAGAGAUGGGUGUGCCUCUUUUGGGGUCGGUUCACAGGUGGUGCAUGGCUGUCGUCAGCUCGUGUCGUGAGAUGUUGGGUUAAGUCCCGCAACGAGCGCAACCCUUGUUCACUGUUGCCAGCACGUUAUGGUGGGGACUCAGUGGAGACCGCCGGGGUCAACUCGGAGGAAGGUGGGGAUGACGUCAAGUCAUCAUGCCCCUUAUGUCCAGGGCUUCACGCAUGCUACAAUGGCUGGUACAGAGAGUGGCGAGCCUGUGAGGGUGAGCGAAUCUCGGAAAGCCGGUCUCAGUUCGGACUGGGGUCUGCAACUCGACCUCAUGAAGUCGGAGUCGCUAGUAAUCGCAGAUCAGCAACGCUGCGGUGAAUACGUUCCCGGGGCU